AAAUUAUAAUGAGGGCACUUCCUCAUCUAAUCCUUGAAUCUAUUCCAUGCCGUGCACAAGGUUUCACCCUCAAUUUGAGUGAAAUUGGUGAUGUCAUUCACCAUCU
Gastrolobium bilobum is the source of this 106-nucleotide small nucleolar RNA. The record is from RefSeq and is a predicted model, not a curated record. Lineage: Eukaryota; Viridiplantae; Streptophyta; Magnoliopsida; Fabales; Fabaceae.